RNAcentral lists this ribosomal RNA (428 nucleotides) under uncultured bacterium. Its description in RNAcentral is "bacterial SSU rRNA". It matches the Rfam family "Bacterial small subunit ribosomal RNA", at positions 355 to 775 of the family's 1533-position model. The record is from RNAcentral.
UGGGGAAUUUUGGACAAUGGGGGCAACCCUGAUCCAGCCAUGCCGCGUGCGGGAAGAAGGCCUUCGGGUUGUAAACCGCUUUUAGCCGGGAAGAAAGGGCGCGCGCGAAUAGCGCGUGUCGUUGACGGUACCGGCGGAAUAAGCACCGGCUAACUACGUGCCAGCAGCCGCGGUAAUACGUAGGGUGCGAGCGUUAAUCGGAAUUACUGGGCGUAAAGCGUGCGCAGGCGGUUCGUUGUGUCGGUGGUGAAAGCCCCGGGCUUAACCUGGGAAUGGCCAUGGAAACUGGCGAACUGGAGUGUGGCAGAGGGGGGUGGAAUUCCGCGUGUAGCAGUGAAAUGCGUAGAGAUGCGGAGGAACACCGAUGGCGAAGGCAGCCCCCUGGGCUAACACUGACGCUCAGGCACGAAAGCGUGGGGAGCAAACAG